GCUCCCUGGUUGAUCCUGCCAGUUUUCAUAUGCUCGUCUCAAAGAUUAAGCCAUGCAAGUGUAAGUACGAGCUUGAUGAAAAAGUGAAACCGCGAAUGUCUCAUUAAAUCAGUCAUGGUUCAUUGGACGAUGAACGGUUACUUGGAUAACUGUGGCAAUUCUAGAGCUAAUACAUGCAAACAAGUCCCGACCGGAGACGGAAAGGACGCACUUAUUAGAUCAAAGCCUAGCGGGUGGAGGGUCCCCGAGUGUCUCCCCGGAGCACUCGCCCCUCUCUCUCCCGUUUGCGUUCUUGGUGACUCUGAAUAAUUGUGUGAUCGCACGGCCCACGAGCCGGCGACGUGUCUUUCAAAUGUCUGACUCAGCAACUGUCGAUGGUAGGUUCUGCGCCUACCAUGGUGGUGACGGGUGACGGGGAAUCAGGGUUCGAUUCCGGAGAGGGAGCCUGAGAGACGGCUACCACAUCCAAGGAAGGUAAGCAGGCACGCAAAUUACCCACUCCCGGCACGGGGAGGUAGUGACGAAAAAUAACGAUGCGGGACUCGUGAGAGGCCCCGUAAUCGGAACGAGGAGACUUUAAAUCCUUUACCGAGUAUCCAUUGGAGGGCAAGUCUGGUGCCAGCAGCUGCGGUGAUUCCAGCUCCAAUAGCGUAUGUUAAAGUUGUUGCGGUUAAAAAGCUCGUAGUCGGACCUGUGGUCCCGCCGGUGUCGGUGCACCGCUGGUCGGUGUCUAACCGGGCAUGCAGGCGAGGACGUCCUGACGGUGGUCCCCUCUCGAGUCGCUCGGAAACGAGCGUCUAUAGGGGCCGUCACGUUUACUUUGAACAAAUUAGAGUGCUCAAAGCAGGCAUGCAAGUCGCCUGAAAGAUCAGUGCAUGGAAUAAUGGAAAAGGACCUCGGUUCUAUUUUGUUGGUUGUCUGAAUCUCCGAGGAAAUGAUCAAUAGGAACAGACGGGGGCAAACGUACUGCGACGUUAGAGGUGAAAUUCUUGGAUCGUCGCAAGACGCACAGAAGCGAAAGCAUUUGCCAAGUAUGUUUUCUAUGAUCAAGAGCUAAAGUCAGAGGUUCGAAGGCGAUCAGAUACCGCCCUAGUUCUGACCAUAAACGAUGCCAGCCAGCAAUCCGCCGAAGUCGACCCUUCGACUCGGCGGGAGGCUUCCGGGAAACCAAAGCUUACGGGCUCCGGAAGAAGUAUGGUUGCAAAGCUGAAACUCAAGGGAAUUGACGGAAGGGCACCACCAGGUGUGGAGCCUGCGGCUUAAUUUGACUCAACACGGGAAAACUUACCAAGCCCGGACACCGGAAUGAUUGACAGAUUGAGAGCUCUUUCUUGAUUCGGUGGGUGGUGGUGCAUGGCCGUUCUUAGUUCGUGGGGUGACUUGGCUGGUCAAUUCCGGUAACGAACGAGACUCUAACCUGCUAACUAGUCGAUGACUAGCAUCUCAUUCGCUGCUGGCGAUAAAUGACGAACAAAUCUUCUUAGAGGGACGAGCGGCGGCGAGUCGCGCUAAAGAGAGCCACAACAGGUCUGUGAUGCCCUAAGAUGUCUUGGGCUGCACGCGCGCUACACUGAAGGAGACAACGUGUCUUCCCUGGCCGAAAGGUCCGGGCAAUCCGUUGAACCUCCUUUCGUGAUAGGGAUUGGGGCUUGUAAUUGUUCCCCAUGAACGAGGAAUUCCCAGUAAGCGCGAGUCAUAAGCUCGCGUUGAUUAAGUCCCUGCCCUUUGUACACACCGCCCGUCGCCAUAUCCGAUGAAUGGUUUAGUGAGGCCUUCGGACCGGCGAUGGCUGGCGUGCCUUCGGGCGCGUCGCUAUCCGAGGAAAGAUGGCCGAACUAGGGCAUUUAGAGGAGAUGUAAGUCGUAACAAGGUUGCCGUAGGUGAACCUGCGGCAGGACCACGA
This 1903-nucleotide ribosomal RNA is filed under the name Margattea bisignata. Its description in RNAcentral is "SSU rRNA". It matches the Rfam family "Eukaryotic small subunit ribosomal RNA". Lineage: Eukaryota; Metazoa; Arthropoda; Insecta; Blattodea; Pseudophyllodromiidae. The record is from RNAcentral.